Molecule: transfer RNA, 71 nt
Filed under: Marmota monax (woodchuck)
Lineage: Eukaryota; Metazoa; Chordata; Mammalia; Rodentia; Sciuridae
Description: tRNA.Ala
Rfam family: tRNA
About the family: Transfer RNA (tRNA) molecules are approximately 80 nucleotides in length. Their secondary structure includes four short double-helical elements and three loops (D, anti-codon, and T loops).
Source: RNAcentral
GGGGUUGUGGCUCAGUGGUAGAGUGCUUGCCUAGCAUGCACAAGGCACUGAGUUCAAGCCUCAGCACCACA